RNAcentral lists this ribosomal RNA (447 nucleotides) under uncultured bacterium. RNAcentral's name for it is "partial 16S ribosomal RNA". It matches the Rfam family "Bacterial small subunit ribosomal RNA", at positions 29 to 523 of the family's 1533-position model. The record is from RNAcentral.
AACGAACGCUGGCGGCAGGCUUAACACAUGCAAGUCGAGCGCGUAGCAAUACGAGCGGCAGACGGGUGAGUAACGCGUGGGAACGUACCCUUUUCUACGGAAUAACCCAGGGAAACUUGGACUAAUACCGUAUACGCCCUUCGGGGGAAAGAUUUAUCGGAGAAGGAUCGGCCCGCGUUGGAUUAGCUAGUUGGUGGGGUAAAGGCCUACCAAGGCGACGAUCCAUAGCUGGUCUGAGAGGAUGAUCAGCCACAUUGGGACUGAGACACGGCCCAAACUCCUACGGGAGGCAGCAGUGAGGAAUAUUGGAAUAUGGGCGCAAGUCUGAUCCAGCCAUGCCGCGUGAGUGAUGAAGGCCUUUGGGUUGUAAAGCUCUUUCACCGGGGAAGAUAAUGACGGUACCCGGAGAAGAAGCCCCGGCUAACUUCGUGCCAGCCGCCGCGGUAA